This 28-nucleotide non-coding RNA is filed under the name Bombyx mori (domestic silkworm). RNAcentral also lists the same sequence under 7 other names. Lineage: Eukaryota; Metazoa; Arthropoda; Insecta; Lepidoptera; Bombycidae. The record is from RNAcentral.
UCAGUCGGUAGAGCAUGAGACUCUUAAU